UCUUUCUUGCUUUUCCCUCCCUUUCUUUCUAGCCCCGCUUUCCGUUUCCUGGUGCUGGUCUCUUUUCUUUUCCCACACCCUCUUUAUUGUCUUUACUCUCUUUUUCCUUCUCCUUUUGUUCCAUUUCUUUUUCUUGUUUUUCCUUCUCUUCCCUCGUUUCUUUCUCUAGCUGUUCUUUCUCUUCUCUAUCCUUUUUUUCUCUUGCUAAUCGGUCCAUUUCUUCUUGUUUUUCCUUUCUUUUUCAAGCGUUUGCUCAAGCGCUUGUCUUUCCCUCAUCUCCUUUUCUUCCUUUUCCUUAUUUUCUCCAUCAAUCCUCUCGUGUUCUACCCUGUCUUUUUCUUCUUGUUCUCUCCUUUCUUUUUCCGGCUGCUUCUUCCUUUCCAAACUUUCCAUCUCUUUCUCUUCUCUUUCCUUCUUUUCGCUCUCCGUUCUCGCUCUCUCCAGUUCACGUUCUUCCCUCUCUUCCCCCUCCUUCCUCUCUCUUUCUAGCCGAUCUUCUUCUUCCUUCUUCCCCCUCUGCAGUCUCUCACUUUCCUCCUCUUUCUCUUGCGUUUUUAAAUGCUCUAUUUCUUCAUGAUCAGCUUCCACUAGCUCGAGUCUGGCCUCGGCAUCAUCUUUGGAUUUCUGCCUCGUCCUCUUUCGUCCUCUUCCUUUGUUCCCUUGAUCUACCUCUUCUUCACUGUCCAACUCUUGCACUACUGUCACUCGCUUCCCUCUCUUCUCUUUCUCUGCCGUAGCUCUUCCUCUGCCUUUACCCUUGCCAGAUGCUGCUGUUGCUGUUUCUUUUCCUCUCAGGCUCCUCCGACAGUCUUGCUCUUCCUCCUCGUUACGUCUCCUCAUACUGGAUCUCUUGGUAGAUAUGGCUUCACUCUGUUGCUCUUCUUCCUGUUCCUCCUUAUCCU
Molecule: long non-coding RNA, 902 nt
Organism: Ictalurus punctatus (channel catfish)
Lineage: Eukaryota; Metazoa; Chordata; Actinopteri; Siluriformes; Ictaluridae
Source: Ensembl